UAAGGAAUAUUGGACAAUGGACGCAAGUCUGAUCCAGCCAUGCCGCGUGAAGGAUGAAUGCCCUCUGGGUUGUAAACUUCUUUUAUAGGGGAAGAAAGAUACUUUUUUUAAGGUAGUUGACGGUACCCUAUGAAUAAGCACCGGCUAACUCCGUGCCAGCAGCCGCGGUAAUACGGAGGGUGCAAGCGUUAUCCGGAUUUACUGGGUUUAAAGGGUGCGUAGGCGGGCAUGUAAGUCAGUGGUGAAAUACCGGAGCUUAACUUCGGAACUGCCAUUGAUACUAUAUGUCUUGAAUAUUGUGGAGGUGAGCGGAAUAUGUCAUGUAGCGGGGAAAUGCAUAGAUAUGACAUAGAACACCGAUUGCGGAGGCAGCUUGCUACGCAAAUAUUGACGCUGAGGCACGAAAGCGUGGGGAUCAAACA
RNAcentral lists this ribosomal RNA (422 nucleotides) under uncultured bacterium. RNAcentral describes it as "bacterial SSU rRNA". It matches the Rfam family "Bacterial small subunit ribosomal RNA", at positions 355 to 774 of the family's 1533-position model. The record is from RNAcentral.